Molecule: ribosomal RNA, 437 nt
Filed under: uncultured bacterium
Lineage: Bacteria
Description: bacterial SSU rRNA
Rfam family: Bacterial small subunit ribosomal RNA
Source: RNAcentral
CGGAGGCAGCAGUGGGGAAUAUUGGACAAUGGGCGCAAGCCUGAUCCAGCCAUGCCGCGUGAGUGACGAAGGCCUUAGGGUUGUAAAGCUCUUUUGGCGGGGACGAUAAUGACGGUACCCGCAGAAUAAGCCCCGGCUAACUUCGUGCCAGCAGCCGCGGUAAUACGAAGGGGGCUAGCGUUGUUCGGAAUUACUGGGCGUAAAGCGCACGUAGGCGGAUUUGUUAGUCAGGGGUGAAAUCCCGAGGCUCAACCUCGGAACUGCCUUUGAUACUGCAAAUCUCGAGUCCGGGAGAGGUGUGUGGAAUUCCUAGUGUAGAGGUGAAAUUCGUAGAUAUUAGGAAGAACACCAGUGGCGAAGGCGGCUCACUGGUCCGGUACUGACGCUGAGGUGCGAAAGCGUGGGGAGCAAACAGGAUUAGAAACCCUUGUAGUCCG